This 401-nucleotide ribosomal RNA is filed under the name Hypomyzostoma aff. crosslandi a DL-2005. Its description in RNAcentral is "partial 16S ribosomal RNA". It matches the Rfam family "Bacterial large subunit ribosomal RNA", at positions 1858 to 2560 of the family's 2925-position model. The record is from RNAcentral. Lineage: Eukaryota; Metazoa; Annelida; Myzostomida; Myzostomatidae.
UCUGCUCAAUGUAUUUUAUAAAUAGCUGCAUCAUAUGUACUAAGGUAGCGUAAUAAUUUGCCUUUUAAUUGAAGGAUUGUAUGAAAGAACACACAAGAAAUAAACUGUCUCUUUUUAAUAUUUAAAAAUUAAUUUACAAGUGAAAAAGCUUGUAUUUAAUAAAUAGACAAGAAGACCCUGUUGAGCUUUUUCUAGAAAAUAAUAUCAUAGAUUUUGUUGGGGCAACAAAAAUUUUUUUUUAUCAAUUUUACUAAUUUAGAAUACACUCUUUUUAAUAAUCUUAUUUAAUAAAAAUUUUAUAAGUUACCACAGGGAUAACAGGCUAAUUUUCUUAUAGAGUACAAAUUAACAAGAAAGAUUGGCACCUCGAUGUUGGCUUAAAGUUCCAUCUAAUUGUAGUA